This 468-nucleotide ribosomal RNA is filed under the name uncultured bacterium. RNAcentral describes it as "partial 16S ribosomal RNA". It matches the Rfam family "Bacterial small subunit ribosomal RNA", at positions 28 to 507 of the family's 1533-position model. The record is from RNAcentral.
GACGAACGCUGGCGGCGUGCUUAACACAUGCAAGUCGAACGGAAAGGCCCUGCUUUUGUUGGGUGCUCGAGUGGCGAACGGGUGAGUAACACGUGAGUAACCUGCCCUUGACUUUGGGAUAACUUCAGGAAACUGGGGCUAAUACCGGAUAGGAGCUCCUGCUGCAUGGUGGGGGUUGGAAAGUUUCGGCGGUUGGGGAUGGACUCGCGGCUUAUCAGCUUGUUGGUGGGGUAGUGGCUUACCAAGGCUUUGACGGGUAGCCGGCCUGAGAGGGUGACCGGCAAAAUUGGGACGGAGAUACGGCCCAGACUCCUACGGGAGGCAGCAGUGGGGAAUAUUGCACAAGGGGCGGAAGCCUGAUGCAGCAACGCCGCGUGCGGGAUGACGGCCUUCGGGUUGUAAACCGCUUUAGCAUGUGACGAAGCGUGAGUGACGGUAAUGGGUAAAGAAGCACCGGCUAACUACGUG